This is an RNA transcript of Callithrix jacchus (white-tufted-ear marmoset), 4051 nucleotides long. It is a transcript of the gene named golgi associated RAB2 interactor family member 2, with no coding region annotated. The record is from RefSeq and is a predicted model, not a curated record. Lineage: Eukaryota; Metazoa; Chordata; Mammalia; Primates; Cebidae.
AAUUUACUUUACCAUUGGUAAAAUAUACGAUGGUGUGUGUGUGUGUGUGUGUGUGUGUGUGUGUGUGUGUGUGUUUGUGUGUGAUGGUCAAAAUGAUGGCUUCACAGAAUCCUCUGUUUUAAGAGCCUGGACUAAUGUUUCUCCCCCCAAAGACAAAAUCUUGCUGUUACCUAGGCUAGAGUGCAGUGGCACAAUCUUGGCUCACUGCAACCUCUGCCUCCUGAGUUCAAGCGAUCCUUCUGCCUCAGCCUCCCAAGUAGCUGGGAUUACAGGCAUGCAUCACCAGACCUGGUUAGUUUUUGUAUUUUUAGUAGAGAUGUUAGAGGGGUGAGGAGUGUAGUGUACAGAUAUCUCAAAUCACAGUUACAACAAAACUAGUCAAAAUUUAGCAUACACUUAUCAGCUAUACACAUAAUCCAAAAGUGUAAAAAUAAUUCUAGAACAAAUGUUUAGAACAUCACAGCAAAGUUGAUAAAAGAGCCUGUUAACACUUUUUGCUCCUCAGCUAACCUCAACUUUGUUCAAAAAGGACGUGAGAGGUAAGACCCAAUUGUGGCUGCAAAUAUCCCUGAAUUCCUUCCUUUCCUCUCACUUCCUCCUCCCUGUCUGUGUCCUGAAUCACAGCUACACCUGUUCCCCUGGGAGAUCAUCCACUGUUUGCUCUCUGGAAGAAGAAUUCUCAGAUGCAAGGAAUUCUGGUGAUCUCAUAAAUGACAGCACUGGAAAGGGCCUUUCCCUAAUCCCAGCAGCCAUGUGGCAUCUCCUGAUUAGCAAGUGUCUGCAAACAGUAGACACACUUUCCAGAAUGCGGAUGUUUUCAUUUUCUCAGAGUGAAUUGUUUUUCCAAAAUGUGCACUCUUUCACUUAACUCUGUAUGAACAAGAGUUGACUGCUGUGUCUCCUCAAAUCUAAGAUCCACUAAUUAUAAUAUAUACCAUUAUUGGCCAGGCCCAGUGGCUCACACCUGUAAUCCCAGCACUCUAGGAGGCCAAGGCGGGUGGAUCAUGAGAUUUCAUCAUGAAAAGGAGGAAGCUCAAACUGAAUGUUUUUGUUUAUAUGCAAGUGCAAUGAAGAAGAACACCAGCAAAUCUACUAUGAGGAUCAAUAAGCAAGAUGCUCUCUGCACCCCACACUCCCAUGAUCCAGGACAUCUUCAAAAUAUGUUGGAUGGAGGAGAGUAUGCUCCUUUUGUAUCUCCUCCCAUGUUAGAGAGCAAUUUUAUCCAGGUCAACAGGAGAGGUGAAUCCAUUUACCUUCAUAACCGAGCCAACUGGGUGACUGUAGGCAUCUGUUCUUCCAGCUCUACCCACAAGAUCCCCAAUGUGAUGCUACUGGCACAUCUGACACCUGGUACUCAAAAAGAUACAGAAUCCCUGUUUAAAAGUCUCCUGACAUCUCCUCCUGCAGAGAAACUGGUGCUCACCAGGUUUCUCCCUCUCCAGUUUGUGACUCUUUCUGUGCAUGAUGCUGAGAACAUGCGCCUGAAAGUAAAGCUGGUGAGUGGUCGCGCCUACUACUUACAGCUCUGUGCCUCUGCAUGUAAACAGGACACCUUAUUUUCUCAGUGGGUGGCCCUCAUCUACCUCUUGAAUCAGGAGAAAGCCAAAGUUUCCAAAGUGUCAGAGGUUUCAAGUCUCUCGGGAAUUACGAAUAGCACAGACAUCACAGGCUCCAUGAACGUGAUGGAUAUCACAGCAUUCACAGCCAUCCCGAUCCCAUACAUGCAUGCAGGUACAGGCCCUGUACAUGUCAGGGACAGCAUAGAUUUCUCGGAAUUCACAGACAUCACUGACAUCACAGAUGUCACAGAUCUUCCAGAAAAUGAGGUCCCAGAGGUCCCAGAUGUAAGAAUUGUCACAGAAGUCACAGAAGUCAGAGAAGCCACAGAAGUCACAGACAGCUUGGAUGUUACAAAAUGCUCAGGAGUCACAGUCAUGUUUGAAAACAAUGACUUAAUCAGGGCCAAGCAAGAGGAAAAGGAAAAAAUGAAAGACAUUCUGAAGCCUGGGUGUCUACAAGAUACAAAAAGUAAGAGUGAGUUGAAAGAAUCCCCAAAACAUGUCACCAUCUCAAACCUAACAGUGACUUUUGAAGAUAAAGGAUAUUUUCAAACUACCUUGACUCCAGUAGAAAGUGAGGCAAAUACAUCCAAGGAGAUGGAGGAUAAGACCUCUGAAGAAAAGAUGUCCGAUUUUAAGAGCACAGCUCUCAAGGCUGAAGAAUCCAGGAGCUUGAGAACUGAAUCAAACACUUCAGGGAAUGAAUGUGAGGAAAGAAAAGUAAAAUAGAAAAAGACAAAAUUGAUGAAAAAACAUGUAAGACAACCAGCCUAAAGACGGAUUCUUACUCUGUCACCCUGUCUGGAGUGCAGUGGCACAAUCUCGGCUCACUGCAACCUCUGCCUCCUGGGUUCAGGCAGUUCUCCUGCCUCAGCCUCCUGAGUAGCUGGGAUUACAUGCACAUACCACCAUUCCCAGACUUUUGAUUAAAUGGACUGCCUUCACCUUUUUUUAAAAAUCAGAUACAAACUACUGAAUGAAAAAGCAAACACAGCUCAGGAAAAGACAAUCAGUGCAAGAGGAAAACCAAGCAGUGUCUUCUAUGUGGCAGAAAUAAAGCCUACUGCUAAUCAUUAAGAAUUCAAAUCCAUGUCAAUCUAAUUUGAUAAAUCUUAACUAAUUUAAUUAUGGAUAUUUAUUUUAAAGGAAGCUAGAGGACUAUGCAAAAACAAGAUUUCCAAUUCAUAAACUCAGUUUUUACCUGUGGGAUUUCUUUUCUUUGGGAUUGAUGGAAAAUUUUGUUAUUCUCUUGUUUUUCCUUUUCUCAUUUGUACAUUAGUCCAACAUUGUUUUGUUUCUAACACUGGACAAUGUGAGUUGACUGAACGUGGGGACUAUGUUCAUCUUUUGUUCUAGCUGACUACCUGGUGCUGAGAGACAGUAUUUAUGGAAUCAAUGCGUAAUUUUUAAACAGGUUAAAAAAAUCCAUAUACUUUUAAAAAUAAAAAAGAAACUACAGACAGUCCCCAUACAGAGAAUAGUUUGACUUUUAUUUUUACUUUUUGAGACAGUCACCCUCUUUCACCAAGCUGGAGUGUAAUGGCAUGAUCUUGGCUCACUGCAACCUCUGCCUCCCAAGUUCAAGCGAUUCUCCUGCCUCAGCCUCCCAUAAAGCUACAGGUACAUACCACCAUACCCAUCUAAUUUUUGUAUUUUUAGUAGAUAUGGGGUUUCACCAUGUUGAGAUGGUCUUGAUCUCUUGACCUCGUGAUCCGCCUGCCUCCUAAAGUGCUAAGAUUACAGGCGGGAGCCACUGCACCUAGCCAGUUUGACUUUUUAAAAGCCAUCACUUAUUUUCUAAAAGCUGCUAAUUAUUCUAAAACAUGUUUUUAAUGUAUUAUCUCACUUAAUCUUCACAAUAAUAUAAGGGACACUAUUAUUUUCCCUGUUUUACAGAUGGUAAAAGUGAAGCCUAGAGGUUAAAGUUACUUGUCCAGGUCACACAGCUAGAAAAUGGUGGAGAUGGCCUUUGAACCCAAGAAGCCCAACAGACAAGCUAAACACAAAUUUGUGAUUCACAUUAACUCAUAUUUUAAAUUCAGAAUAAGGAUAGUUAGGUUUUUAAAAAGCUAUGGAAAUCUAUUUAAGUCAAAUCUCACACAAACAGUCCUGGUUUUUCUACUGUAAACUGAGAAUAUCUCUCAUCUCCAUCUUUCUUUUCCUGUCCCACAGGCAACUCUCUAGAAUUGCGUAGUCCCACACAGUGGCCACUAGGCAUAUAUGGCUAUUGAGCACCUGCAAUGUAGCUAGUGUGACUGAGAAACUGAAUUUUAGAUCCUUUUUAACAGAUCUAAAUUCUAAUUUUAAAACUAGAACAAUGUACAAUAUUUUUCUAUGAACAUGACUUUAUUGUUUUGGUAGGGCUACCUUGUUCACUUCAACUGUUGAAAAUCUAGUGUCUAGGGCUGGGUGUGGUGGCUCACUCCUGUAAUCCUAGCACUUUGGGAGGCCGAGGUGGGUGGAUCACCUGAGGUCAGGAGUUCAAGACCAGC